This is a long non-coding RNA of Ostrinia furnacalis (Asian corn borer), 264 nucleotides long. RefSeq lists it as uncharacterized. The transcript has 2 exons. NCBI's taxonomy places the organism in Eukaryota, Metazoa, Arthropoda, Insecta, Lepidoptera, Crambidae. The record is from RefSeq and is a predicted model, not a curated record.
AGUUCUUCAUAGCGUCUUUAACUUCCAAACUAGCAACAUCUGCAAUUGACCGCGCGUGUGUGACCGCGAACGACAUGUACGUGAUGGUGGUUGGCGCCAAAGGGGACGAGUGUCUUCCGGACGACGAGCAGGUGGACCCAGAGCGUCGGAUACCGGAGAAACUCGGACCCCGGCGAGAUUCAAAACGGAUGAAACGAGGUACGUGGGAUUCUGAUAGCUUUAACACUCUUUUCGAUCAAAUGAGCAUUCUCGCGAAUCUCUAUA